Molecule: ribosomal RNA, 254 nt
Filed under: uncultured bacterium
Lineage: Bacteria
Description: partial 16S ribosomal RNA
Rfam family: Bacterial small subunit ribosomal RNA
Source: RNAcentral
UACGUAGGGGGCAAGCGUUGUUCGGAAUGACUGGGCGUAAAGGGUGCGUAGGCGGUGUAGCAAGUUAGAAGUGAAAUACCUAGAGCUUAACUCAGGUGCUGCUUCUAAAACUGCUAUACUUGAGUGCAGUAGAGGAAAGUGGAAUUCCAAGUGUAGCGGUGGAAUGCGUAGAUAUUAGGAGGAACAUCAGUGGCGAAGGCGACUUUCUGGACUGUAACUGACGCUGAGGCACGAAAGUGUGGGGAGCAAACAGG